Long non-coding RNA from Astatotilapia calliptera (eastern happy), 570 nucleotides. The record is from Ensembl. Lineage: Eukaryota; Metazoa; Chordata; Actinopteri; Cichliformes; Cichlidae.
GAAAGCUCAGGGAACCCUUAACCAAUUUCUUGUCCACCAGGCCACGGCAGAAGCAGAUAUGGGAGUGUGGGGGGGCCACAGCCCCGUCCUCCAGGGUGUGAAGCGGGUAUGGAGGAGAUCAAAACUCCAGACAUCCAGAGGCCCCCAGAACACAAGAGACCAUGGAAGACCAACAGAGGGGCAGCCGCGCCACUGUUCCAGUAAGAGCUGAGGAGAGUCCUAGAUCACCAUCCUUCCAGACCAUCUCCGAGGCAAGCUUUCCCAGAUGAAUGUGCCUGAUCCCAUCUGCCGGUGGAUCACUGACUUCCUGACGGACAGGAAGCAGCACGUGAGGCUGGGGAAGAAUGUCUUGGACUCCCGGACCAUCAGCACCAUCAGAGUGGAUUAUAACACAGAAGCAACAUUACUGAGGGGCUCGCCCAGCAGCCGCGGAGCAGAAGUCAGGGGGAGUUGCAGUGACGCGCCCGUGAGCUCCGCCGGCCCCCAGCUGUGCCUGAGUGACCGAGCCCCAGGCCGAGAGGCCGGGGGCACCCCACCUCCAAAGGGGCCCGAGCGAGCCCCAGGCCCCAG